UCAAGUGGAGACGGGCUUGAAAGGCCAUCUACAAAACCAGUGGCCAGCAAAGAAGAGGGAAUUUUUGCCAAUGAAUUAUUAACUGGAUUAUUAAAGGACCACUAUGCUGGGACACCAAUGGGAUCAGCCCUUCUGCUGCACUGCCUUCAUAGCUGCAGAAACCUCGUGCUUCCAGAGCCAGUCAUGCGACCCAUAGCGCUUUUGGGUCUUGGAGGAACUUUUUAGCGUCAUGAAGAACAACACAGAGCAAGGGAAAAUAUAGAAGUAGUUGUGGUUGGAGGAUGUGAUGACAUCACAGAGUUCAGCGGGAACACGGGGCUUUUAAAAAGCUGAAAGAAACAUCCUGAGGCUCAGAGAUCGCAGCCCCCGAAAGGGAGUCAAACCCACGUUGGCUCUUCAAGAGCCCGACUGUCUUCGGCUAAAGAGACACAAGGCUCCGUCCCACCACUCAGCAUGCACUGGCAAAAAUGUAAGUGAGCUCUGAUUGCCUUUGUUUUCCUAUCUGAUAUAAAAGGUGUGAUGGAUAAG
This 528-nucleotide long non-coding RNA is filed under the name Coturnix japonica (Japanese quail). RNAcentral's name for it is "lncRNA (ENSCJPG00005009786.1)". The record is from RNAcentral. Lineage: Eukaryota; Metazoa; Chordata; Aves; Galliformes; Phasianidae.